GUAGGGAAUCUUGCGCAAUGGGCGAAAGCCUGACGCAGCCAUGCCGCGUGAAUGAUGAAGGUCUUAGGAUUGUAAAAUUCUUUCACCGGGGACGAUAAUGACGGUACCCGGAGAAGAAGCUCCGGCUAACUUCGUGCCAGCAGCCGCGGUAAUACGAAGGGGGCUAGCGUUGCUCGGAAUUACUGGGCGUAAAGGGCGCGUAGGCGGAUAUUUAAGUCGGGGGUGAAAGCCCGGGGCUCAACCUCGGAAUAGCCUUCGAUACUGGAUAUCUUGAGUACGGGAGAGGUGUGUGGAACUCCGAGUGUAGAGGUGGAAUUCGUAGAUAUUAGGAAGAACACCAGUGGCGAAGGCGGCUCACUGGUCCGGUACUGACGCUGAGGUGCGAAAGCGUGGGGAGCAAACAGGAUUAGAUACCCGGGUAGUCC
RNAcentral lists this ribosomal RNA (425 nucleotides) under uncultured bacterium. RNAcentral's name for it is "partial 16S ribosomal RNA". It matches the Rfam family "Bacterial small subunit ribosomal RNA", at positions 354 to 796 of the family's 1533-position model. The record is from RNAcentral.